RNAcentral lists this unclassified non-coding RNA (305 nucleotides) under plant metagenome. RNAcentral's name for it is "partial contains 5.8S ribosomal RNA, internal transcribed spacer 2, and large subunit ribosomal RNA". The stretch from base 1 to 105 matches the Rfam family "5.8S ribosomal RNA", at positions 50 to 154 of the family's 154-position model. The record is from RNAcentral.
GAAAUGCGAUAAGUAAUGUGAAUUGCAGAAUUCAGUGAAUCAUCGAAUCUUUGAACGCACAUUGCGCCCCUUGGUAUUCCGAGGGGCAUGCCUGUUCGAGCGUCAUUACACCACUCAAGCUAUGCUUGGUAUUGGGUGCCGUCCUUAGUUGGGCGCGCCUUAAAGACCUCGGCGAGGCCUCACCGGCUUUAGGCGUAGUAGAAUUUAUUCGAACGUCUGUCAAAGGAGAGGACUUCUGCCGACUGAAACCUUUUAUUUUUCUAGGUUGACCUCGGAUCAGGUAGUGAUACCCGCUGAACUUAAGC